ACUGCUGCACUCUACAAAGCUUUUCAAUAUCUAUCAACAUCAGGUCAAUGCAAUGUACAGUAUAUGAUGUCCAGUAAAUAUGCGAUCGCUGCUCCAUCAGCAAUCAUUAGCGGCUUUAUAUUGCAGUCCAUUAUCUAUGAUGAUCUGUAUGAUAUUCUGCUUUCCAACUGAAUCAAUCACCUCCUCCAUCAGUCCAAGAAUGUAUGUGGCGUUGUACAUCCUAUCUGAAGCAUCAAUUGAUUUGUGAAAAAUAUUUUUUCAUCAUAAUAUGUCAAAAAAUUUAUGAUACUCUAUCUAGUAGGAUCGAUCCAAUCAUCACACA
Molecule: long non-coding RNA, 322 nt
Filed under: Elaeis guineensis (African oil palm)
Lineage: Eukaryota; Viridiplantae; Streptophyta; Magnoliopsida; Arecales; Arecaceae
Description: long non-coding RNA (EGUI_LNC019407)
Source: RNAcentral